AAGUUCCGCAUCGAGCGCAACCCUCGUCUCCAGUUGCCAUCAGGUUAAGCUGGGCACUUUGGAGAAACUGCCGGUGACAAGCCGCAGGAAGGUGGGGAUGACGACAAGUCCUCAUGGCCCUUACGGGCUGGGCUACACACGUGCUACAAUGGCGGUGACAGUGGGAACCGAAAGGGUGACCCGGAGCCGAUCCCCACAAACCGUCCCAGUUCGGAUUGCACUCUGCAACUCGAGUGCAUGAAGGUGGAAUCGCUAGUAAUCGCGGAUCAGCAUGCCGCGGUGAAUACGUUCCCGGGCCUUGUACACACCG
RNAcentral lists this ribosomal RNA (310 nucleotides) under proteobacterium CZ361. Its description in RNAcentral is "bacterial SSU rRNA". It matches the Rfam family "Bacterial small subunit ribosomal RNA", at positions 1082 to 1392 of the family's 1533-position model. The record is from RNAcentral. Lineage: Bacteria; Pseudomonadati; Pseudomonadota.